This 253-nucleotide ribosomal RNA is filed under the name uncultured bacterium. RNAcentral's name for it is "partial 16S ribosomal RNA". It matches the Rfam family "Bacterial small subunit ribosomal RNA", at positions 524 to 776 of the family's 1533-position model. The record is from RNAcentral.
UACGUAGGGUCCGAGCGUUGUCCGGAAUUAUUGGGCGUAAAGGGCUCGUAGGCGGUUCGUCACGUCGGGAGUGAAAACUCGGGGCUCAACCCCGAGCCUGCUUCCGAUACGGGCAGACUAGAGGUAUGCAGGGGAGAAUGGAAUUCCUGGUGUAGCGGUGAAAUGCGCAGAUAUCAGGAGGAACACCGGUGGCGAAGGCGGUUCUCUGGGCAUUACCUGACGCUGAGGAGCGAAAGUGUGGGGAGCGAACAGG